This 72-nucleotide transfer RNA is filed under the name Ornithorhynchus anatinus (platypus). It matches the Rfam family "tRNA". From Rfam's summary of the family: Transfer RNA (tRNA) molecules are approximately 80 nucleotides in length. Lineage: Eukaryota; Metazoa; Chordata; Mammalia; Monotremata; Ornithorhynchidae. The record is from Rfam by way of RNAcentral.
AGCAGUGUGGCUUAGUGGAUAAAACACAGGCCUGGGAGCCAGAGGACUUGGGUUCUAAUCCCAGCUCUGCUA